This 120-nucleotide small nuclear RNA is filed under the name Myotis lucifugus (little brown bat). Its description in RNAcentral is "U2 spliceosomal RNA". It matches the Rfam family "U2 spliceosomal RNA". From Rfam's summary of the family: U2 is a small nuclear RNA (snRNA) component of the spliceosome (involved in pre-mRNA splicing). Complementary binding between U2 snRNA (in an area lying towards the 5' end but 3' to hairpin I) and the branchpoint sequence (BPS) of the intron results the bulging out of an unpaired adenosine, on the BPS, which initiates a nucleophilic attack at the intronic 5' splice site, thus starting the first of two transesterification reactions that mediate splicing. The record is from Rfam by way of RNAcentral. Lineage: Eukaryota; Metazoa; Chordata; Mammalia; Chiroptera; Vespertilionidae.
AUCGCUUCUCGGCCUUUUGGCUAAGAUCAAGUGUAGUAUCUGUUCUUAUCAGUGAUCAUCCUGAUAAAUCUUAUACCCAUCAGACACCAUACAUAGAUAUUGGAAUAUUAUUGACUAUAU